GAUUGACCUCGGAUCAGUAGGGAUACCCGCUGACUUAGCAUAUCAUAGCGGAGGAAAGAAACCAACAGGGAUUGC
Molecule: ribosomal RNA, 75 nt
Filed under: Ramalina yasudae
Lineage: Eukaryota; Fungi; Ascomycota; Lecanoromycetes; Lecanorales; Ramalinaceae
Description: partial 28S ribosomal RNA
Source: RNAcentral